UACGGAGGGUGCGAGCGUUGUCCGGAAUCAUUGGGCGUAAAGGGCGCGUAGGUGGCCCGGUCAGUUCGUGGUGAAAGCGCGGGGCUCAACCCUGCGUCGGCCAUGAAUACUGCCGCGGCUGGAGCACUGUAGAGGCAGGCGGAAUUCCGGGUGUAGCGGUGGAAUGCGUAGAGAUCGGCAGGAACACCCAGGGGGAAACCAGUCGACUGGGCAGCACCUGACGCUGAGGUGCGAGAGCGUGGGGAGCGAACCGG
RNAcentral lists this ribosomal RNA (254 nucleotides) under uncultured bacterium. RNAcentral's name for it is "partial 16S ribosomal RNA". It matches the Rfam family "Bacterial small subunit ribosomal RNA", at positions 524 to 776 of the family's 1533-position model. The record is from RNAcentral.